Molecule: ribosomal RNA, 253 nt
Filed under: uncultured bacterium
Lineage: Bacteria
Description: partial 16S ribosomal RNA
Rfam family: Bacterial small subunit ribosomal RNA
Source: RNAcentral
UACGUAGGGGGCAAGCGUUGUCCGGAUUUAUUGGGCGUAAAGCGCGUGUAGGCGGCCCGGUAAGUCCGCUGUGAAAGUCCAGGGCUCAACCCUGGGAUGCCGGUGGAUACUGUCGGGCUCGAGUCCGGAAGAGGCGAGUGGAAUUCCUGGUGUAGCGGUGAAAUGCGCAGAUAUCAGGAGGAACACCAAUGGCGAAGGCAGCUCGCUGGGACGUUACUGACGCUGAGACGCGAAAGCGUGGGGAGCAAACAGG